Molecule: ribosomal RNA, 1540 nt
Filed under: Heliconius ismenius
Lineage: Eukaryota; Metazoa; Arthropoda; Insecta; Lepidoptera; Nymphalidae
Also listed under: 1 other name
Description: bacterial SSU rRNA
Rfam family: Bacterial small subunit ribosomal RNA
Source: RNAcentral
AGAGUUUGAUCCUGGCUCAGGACGAACGCUGGCGGCGUGCCUAAUACAUGCAAGUCGAACGCUUCUUUUCCCACCGGAGCUUGCUCCACCGGGAAAAGAGGAGUGGCGAACGGGUGAGUAACACGUGGGUAACCUGCCCAUCAGAAGGGGAUAACACUUGGAAACAGGUGCUAAUACCGUAUAACAAUCGAAACCGCAUGGUUUCGUUUUGAAAGGCGCUUUACGGUGCCGCUGAUGGAUGGACCCGCGGUGCAUUAGCUAGUUGGUGAGGUAACGGCUCACCAAGGCCACGAUGCAUAGCCGACCUGAGAGGGUGAUCGGCCACAUUGGGACUGAGACACGGCCCAAACUCCUACGGGAGGCAGCAGUAGGGAAUCUUCGGCAAUGGACGAAAGUCUGACCGAGCAACGCCGCGUGAGUGAAGAAGGUUUUCGGAUCGUAAAACUCUGUUGUUAGAGAAGAACAAGGGUGAGAGUAACUGUUCACCCCUUGACGGUAUCUAACCAGAAAGCCACGGCUAACUACGUGCCAGCAGCCGCGGUAAUACGUAGGUGGCAAGCGUUGUCCGGAUUUAUUGGGCGUAAAGCGAGCGCAGGCGGUUUCUUAAGUCUGAUGUGAAAGCCCCCGGCUCAACCGGGGAGGGUCAUUGGAAACUGGGAGACUUGAGUGCAGAAGAGGAGAGUGGAAUUCCAUGUGUAGCGGUGAAAUGCGUAGAUAUAUGGAGGAACACCAGUGGCGAAGGCGGCUCUCUGGUCUGUAACUGACGCUGAGGCUCGAAAGCGUGGGGAGCAAACAGGAUUAGAUACCCUGGUAGUCCACGCCGUAAACGAUGAGUGCUAAGUGUUGGAGGGUUUCCGCCCUUCAGUGCUGCAGCUAACGCAUUAAGCACUCCGCCUGGGGAGUACGACCGCAAGGUUGAAACUCAAAGGAAUUGACGGGGGCCCGCACAAGCGGUGGAGCAUGUGGUUUAAUUCGAAGCAACGCGAAGAACCUUACCAGGUCUUGACAUCCUUUGACCACUCUAGAGAUAGAGCUUCCCCUUCGGGGGCAAAGUGACAGGUGGUGCAUGGUUGUCGUCAGCUCGUGUCGUGAGAUGUUGGGUUAAGUCCCGCAACGAGCGCAACCCUUAUUGUUAGUUGCCAUCAUUUAGUUGGGCACUCUAGCAAGACUGCCGGUGACAAACCGGAGGAAGGUGGGGAUGACGUCAAAUCAUCAUGCCCCUUAUGACCUGGGCUACACACGUGCUACAAUGGGAAGUACAACGAGUCGCGAAGUCGCGAGGCUAAGCUAAUCUCUUAAAGCUUCUCUCAGUUCGGAUUGUAGGCUGCAACUCGCCUACAUGAAGCCGGAAUCGCUAGUAAUCGCGGAUCAGCACGCCGCGGUGAAUACGUUCCCGGGCCUUGUACACACCGCCCGUCACACCACGAGAGUUUGUAACACCCGAAGUCGGUGAGGUAACCUUUUGGAGCCAGCCGCCUAAGGUGGGAUAGAUGAUUGGGGUGAAGUCGUAACAAGGUAGCCGUAUCGGAAGGUGCGGCUG